AGAACGAACGCUGGCGGCAUGCCUAACACAUGCAAGUCGAACGCUCUUGGGGCUUCGGUCUCAGGGGAGUGGCGCACGGGUGAGUAGCGCGUGGGAACCUGCCCUGUUGUGGGGGAUAACCGAGGGAAACUUCGGCUAAUACCGCAUAAGCCGGUUGUCUUGAAGGAGAUGGCCGGGAAAGAUUUAUCGCGACAGGAGGGGCCCGCGUCGGAUUAGCUAGUUGGUGGGGUAACGGCCCACCAAGGCGGUGAUCCGUAGCUGGUCUGAGAGGAUGAUCAGCCACACUGGGACUGAGACACGGCCCAGACUCCUACGGGAGGCAGCAGUGGGGGAAUAUUGGACAAUGGGCGCAAGCCUGAUCCAGCAAUGCCGCGUGAGUGAUGAAGGCCUUAGGGUUGUAAAGCUCUUUCGCCCGCGACGAUGAUGACGGUAGCGGGAGAAGAAGCCCGGCUAACUUCGUGCCAGCAGCCGCGGUAA
RNAcentral lists this ribosomal RNA (477 nucleotides) under uncultured bacterium. RNAcentral describes it as "SSU rRNA". It matches the Rfam family "Bacterial small subunit ribosomal RNA", at positions 26 to 523 of the family's 1533-position model. The record is from RNAcentral.